UACGUAGGGGGCUAGCGUUGUCCGGAAUCACUGGGCGUAAAGCGCACGCAGGCGGUCUGUCAAGUCGGAUGUGAAAUCCCCGGGCUCAACCUGGGAACUGCAUUCGAAACUGGCAGGCUAGAGUCUCGUAGAGGGGGGUAGAAUUCCAGGUGUAGCGGUGAAAUGCGUAGAGAUCUGGAGGAAUACCGGUGGCGAAGGCGGCCCCCUGGACGAAGACUGACGCUCAGGUGCGAAAGCGUGGGGAGCAAACAGG
This 253-nucleotide ribosomal RNA is filed under the name uncultured bacterium. Its description in RNAcentral is "partial 16S ribosomal RNA". It matches the Rfam family "Bacterial small subunit ribosomal RNA", at positions 524 to 776 of the family's 1533-position model. The record is from RNAcentral.